GGGGAAUUAGCUCAGUUGAUAGAGCGCCUGACUUGCACUCAGGAGGUCGUGGGUUUGACUCCCAUAUUCUCCACCA
RNAcentral lists this transfer RNA (76 nucleotides) under bacterium. RNAcentral describes it as "tRNA-Ala". It matches the Rfam family "tRNA". From Rfam's summary of the family: Transfer RNA (tRNA) molecules are approximately 80 nucleotides in length. Their secondary structure includes four short double-helical elements and three loops (D, anti-codon, and T loops). Further hydrogen bonds mediate the characteristic L-shaped molecular structure. tRNAs have two regions of fundamental functional importance: the anti-codon, which is responsible for specific mRNA codon recognition, and the 3' end, to which the tRNAs corresponding amino acid is attached (by aminoacyl-tRNA synthetases). tRNAs cope with the degeneracy of the genetic code in two manners: having more than one tRNA (with a specific anti-codon) for a particular amino acid; and 'wobble' base-pairing, i.e. permitting non-standard base-pairing at the 3rd anti-codon position. The record is from RNAcentral.